AAUAAAAAAAAAAAAAAAAAGUUAUAGCUUGUGAAAUACAAUCGAAAGGGCAGAAUGUGGAUUAUAGCCAUAAUUGCCUACAGAAAAAUGCUAUGAUUGUUGAUAAAAUUUAAAUAAUUAGACACCUAACUGAAAAAUAUUUCGUAUAAUCAAUAGCAUCUAAUAAUAUUGAUCAGCACGACAACAUCACAAAAACAACUAGGUUCUUAUCAGUUAUCACAGCUAAUAAAGAAUAGUUGUGUCAUCCUCUAUACCAUAAUUGGUAAAAUAAAUAUCCAUGAUUAUCCAAAACUAAAUAAUGUUUAAUAUAUCAACUUCCAAAUAUGCACAUGACACAAAAAAAAUAUUUGAUUGAUUUCUAUUUCAACAAAAGAAAAGUAAAAAAUAAUUGACAUCAACAUAAAAAUUUAAUUUAUAUUUCUAUCGCACUAACUUGAUUGCACAGGAUAUUUAGACCAUGCAAAAUUCAUAGAAAAUGGUAUAUCUAGAGAAACAUAGGUUAAUCAAAACAGAAAUAGCCAUCCUGCAAAUAAUUGCACAAUGAUAGGAAAUGCUAGUUCAUUCUGCAAAUACUUUUUCACUCAUCCAAAAAAUUGGGUUCUUAGACAUCUAUACAGGAUCCCAUUGGCGUCAAUUUCACACAAAGCAAAAGGGGCUACAAUUCACUGAUAGGUCAUUUUCAUAUGCCAUUCAUUUCCAACUAAACAGAACAAGAUUUAAAAUAGAUUCAUGUAAAUUUAAGUUAUCCACUGCUAAAUUACUACUAAAAAUGAAACUUAAUGUAGGCUAUGGCAUCUCUUUUGUUCUUAGCAAGCAGUUGCAAGAUAUGAAAUUAGUAUCACAAUUUGCAUUAGAAUUGCCAAUGUAAUUUUCUCUGAAUACUAAAAUGGUUAUAUCUUCCCAAGCUAGAAGGAAAGUGGACCAUAAUCCUAUCAUCAACAUGCAAAUGCAGAGGAAUGUGUGUUUUACAGUGAAAUGAAAAAUCUUACCGGAGUUAAAAGAAAAAUAAAAUAAAAUAA
RNAcentral lists this unclassified non-coding RNA (1019 nucleotides) under Hevea brasiliensis (rubber tree). Lineage: Eukaryota; Viridiplantae; Streptophyta; Magnoliopsida; Malpighiales; Euphorbiaceae. The record is from RNAcentral.